CCUUUGUACACACCGCCCGUCGCUACUACCGAUUGAAUGGCUCAGUGAGGCCUUCGGACUGGCUCAGGGAGGUAGGCAACUGUCACCCAGAGCCGGAAAGUUGGUCAAACUUGGUCAUUUAGAGG
RNAcentral lists this ribosomal RNA (125 nucleotides) under Orbilia sp. RNAcentral describes it as "partial small subunit ribosomal RNA". It matches the Rfam family "Eukaryotic small subunit ribosomal RNA", at positions 1657 to 1779 of the family's 1831-position model. Lineage: Eukaryota; Fungi; Ascomycota; Orbiliomycetes; Orbiliales; Orbiliaceae. The record is from RNAcentral.